AUCAACAUUUCAGAGAAAGCUUGCUGUGGAAUGCAUCUUUUGCUCUGCAUGUAUCCGCUUCGUAGAGUGUUGCCCACAAGAAGGACUUACAGAGAAACUAUGGAUUGGGCUUGAAAAUUUUGUUUUCGAUUGGUUAAUAAAUGCAGACAGGGUUGUUAGCCAGGUUGAUUACCCUUCAUUGGUUGAUUUAAGGGGGCUUCUUCUGGACUUGGUUGCCCAGCUCCUUGGUGCCCUAUCAAGGAUCAGAUUUAGUUCAGUGACAGAGCGCUUCUUCAUGGAACUCAACACGCGGCGGAUAGAUACUAGUGUUGCUAGAAGUGAAACACUAAGUAUUAUAAAUGGAAUACGCUACUUGAAGCUUGGGGUAAAGACAGAGGGUGG
This 381-nucleotide unclassified non-coding RNA is filed under the name Hevea brasiliensis (rubber tree). Lineage: Eukaryota; Viridiplantae; Streptophyta; Magnoliopsida; Malpighiales; Euphorbiaceae. The record is from RNAcentral.